CCUACGGGGGGCAGCAGUGGGGAAUCUUGCACAAUGGGGGAAACCCUGAUGCAGCGACGCCGCGUGAGCGAUGAAGCCCUUCGGGGUGUAAAGCUCUUUCGGCAGGAACGAUAAUGACGGUACCUGAAGAAGAAGCUGCGGCUAACUACGUGCCAGCAGCCGCGGUAAUACGUAGGCAGCGAGCGUUGUUCGGAGUUACUGGGCGUAAAGAGUGCGUAGGUGGUUGUCUAAGUUUGGUGUGAAAUCUCCCGGCUCAACUGGGAGGGUGCGCCGAAAACUGGGUGACUAGAGUGUGGGAGAGGAAAGCGGAAUUCCUGGUGUAGCGGUGAAAUGCGUAGAUAUCAGGAGGAACACCUGCGGUGUAGACGGCUUUCUGGACCACUACUGACACUGAGGCACGAAAGCGUGGGGAGCAAACAGGAUUAGAUACCCCGGUAGUC
RNAcentral lists this ribosomal RNA (440 nucleotides) under uncultured bacterium. RNAcentral's name for it is "partial 16S ribosomal RNA". It matches the Rfam family "Bacterial small subunit ribosomal RNA", at positions 338 to 795 of the family's 1533-position model. The record is from RNAcentral.